CGGGCCAGAUGGCUGCGGGAGAACCGCCCUUGCCCUGGGGACGGCGCGCAGCUGGACCCCGGCGUCGCUUUGCUGAGCACCUCCCGGUGGCCGAGGGCGCGGCCGAAUCUCUAGUCCUGGCCGCAGCAUUCUUUGAGGUUUUCAGCCACCAAGCAUUUUUACCAUUCCAACCUAAAGAAACGGGGGAGACAUGAGAUGCAUUAGGAUCCAGAAGGCCUACAGCAUUGCAAGAACCAAGUGACAUAAUGUAGAUGAAUCAAUGCUUUACAAAAACAAAUCACUCCACUUCGAACAGUGCUGUUUAGAGCCACCUGAGAAGCAACUUCACCUGAGAAGCGGGGACAACACUGACCGUCGGGAAGUCUGAGCCCUUUUCCUGACGGAUGACUAACGUACGAGGACCACUGGACUGAGGCAGAGGGCAGUGCUGGCCCUGGGCAGAGGGUCUUGGGGUCUAUGAAAAAGCAGGCUAGGCCAGCCAGUAAGCGGUUUUCCUCCAUGGCCUGUGUUUCCUGCCUCUACAUUCCAUCCUGGAGUUCCUGCCCUGACUUCUCUUCGCAGUACUGUAACUGAAGGAUGAAACAAACCCUCUCUUCCCCAAGUUGCUAUUGGUCACGGUACUCAUCACAGCCACAGAAACCUAACUAAAACACUGACCUAGUUCACUUGGGAAAUAGUCCAACGUUUCA
Peromyscus maniculatus bairdii (prairie deer mouse) is the source of this 689-nucleotide non-coding RNA. The record is from RefSeq and is a predicted model, not a curated record. NCBI's taxonomy places the organism in Eukaryota, Metazoa, Chordata, Mammalia, Rodentia, Cricetidae.